CCAAACUCAGUAUUUUACAUGUAGUUCCAUCUAGGAUAAAAAUAGCCACGAGGGGAUUAUGUGCCUCUUCAUCAGGUCUUCCCCAAGCCAGUCGCCAGUCCAGAAGAGAAACACCUAAAUAUGCUGAGACAGACAAACAUACAAACUCCACAUUUAAAGGCUCCAGGCUGAGAUUUUCAUCUUGUUGUGAGGCAACAGCAUUAAGAGCAACUCCACAGUGAAAUCCUGGUUCAAUUUACUUUGUCUGUAUUAGCACCUAAUCACAACAAACAGUGAUCUUAGGGAACUACUAUUAAAAACAAACAGGUCUGAUUGAAUUCCAGUCAUAUUAAGCAAUCAUUGAAUUAAUAUUUGUUUAAAAAAAAAAUCAAAUUCUUCAAGACAAAAUUGUGUUGGUCAGAUAUACAAACAGAAAUUUGCAUGCUAGACAUUCCAGGUAUUUUUUUUUGUGUGAACAAUCUUGACAACUCAGAUUACUUGCACUCUAGAAAUCUGCAUUAUGUUAUGUUUUUCUUGUGUGAUACAAUAAUAAUAAUUAUAGUUUGUGUUUGUAAUGGAACAAAAUGUUAUAAAGUACAAAAAAUAGGAUUGCUACUGUAAAGGACUGUAACUGUGUGCACUUACCAGUGUAGUUUAAUUUACCAGCAAGAUAUUUCUUGUAGAGUUAGGAAGAAUCCAGGAGAAUAAAAAUUAAAAACAUCUAUUGACAAAGAGGAAAGGUUUCAGGUAUAAAACAGUAAUCCUUUGCCAUAUUGUUCAUAUAAAAACACAUUACAAUACAGUCAUGUCUACAGUCUCUCUGUAAAUUGCGUUUUUAUUAUGGGGAAAAAAAAACAUGCUAAAUGAGUCAUUUGUCAUUUUUGUCCCACUUUACUGGUUGUCCGGUAAGCAAACACAAGAAAUACAUCCCACUGUAGAAAACCUGUUUAUUAGACAAAUUAUACACAGAAAGCUUUGCCACUUGUAACAGAGGCCCCAGUUUGUUUCGGUUUUUGAAUAUUAUGCAACACAUACAACAAAAUAGGCCUAUAUUAAAUACUGUACAUCAUAAAUUCUGGAAAAUUAUCAAGUAAAUCCUGUAGUUCUAUGUAAGAAAUCAAAAAUGUUAACAGACAGCUAAGACAGCAAGUUUGUGCAUGCUUUCUUUUUAGUGAACUUGCCAAGUUUUGUUAUUUAGCCAGAAAAAAGAAGUCUGAAUGAUAUGAUUAAAACAA
Non-coding RNA from Poecilia reticulata (guppy), 1214 nucleotides. Lineage: Eukaryota; Metazoa; Chordata; Actinopteri; Cyprinodontiformes; Poeciliidae. The record is from RefSeq and is a predicted model, not a curated record.